AUUGAACGCUGGCGGCAGGCCUAACACAUGCAAGUCGAGCGGAUGAAGGGAGCUUGCUCCUGGAUUCAGCGGCGGACGGGUGAGUAAUGCCUAGGAAUCUGCCUGGUAGUGGGGGAUAACGUCCGGAAACGGGCGCUAAUACCGCAUACGUCCUGAGGGAGAAAGUGGGGGAUCUUCGGACCUCACGCUAUCAGAUGAGCCUAGGUCGGAUUAGCUAGUUGGUGGGGUAAAGGCCUACCAAGGCGACGAUCCGUAACUGGUCUGAGAGGAUGAUCAGUCAACAUGGAAAUGAGAAACGGUCCAGACUCCUACGGGAGGCAGCGGUGGGGAAUAUUGGACAAGGGGCGAAAGCCUGAUCCAGCCAUGCCGGGGGGGUGAAGAAGGUUUUCGGAUUGUAAAGCACUUUAAGUUGGGAGGAAGGGAAGUAAGUUAAAACCUUGCUGUUUUGACGUUACCAACAGAAUAAGCACCGGCUAACUUCGU
This 483-nucleotide ribosomal RNA is filed under the name uncultured bacterium. Its description in RNAcentral is "partial 16S ribosomal RNA". It matches the Rfam family "Bacterial small subunit ribosomal RNA", at positions 30 to 506 of the family's 1533-position model. The record is from RNAcentral.